GAUGAACGCUGGCGGCGUGCCUAAUACAUGCAAGUCGAGCGAACAGACGAGGAGCUUGCUCCUCUGACGUUAGCGGCGGACGGGUGAGUAACACGUGGAUAACCUACCAAUAAGACUGGGAUAACUUCGGGAAACCGGAGCUAAUACCGGAUAAUAUAUUGAACCGCAUGGUUCAAUAGUGAAAGACGGUUUUGCUGUCACUUAUAGAUGGAUCCGCGCCGCAUUAGCUAGUUGGUAAGGUAACGGCUUACCAAGGCAACGAUGCGUAGCCGACCUGAGAGGGUGAUCGGCCACACUGGAACUGAGACACGGUCCAGACUCCUACGGGAGGCAGCAGUAGGGAAUCUUCCGCAAUGGGCGAAAGCCUGACGGAGCAACGCCGCGUGAGUGAUGAAGGUCUUCGGAUCGUAAAACUCUGUUAUUAGGGAAGAACAAAUGUGUAAGUAACUAUUCACGUCUUGACGGUACCUAAUCAGAAAGCCACGGCUAACUACGUG
RNAcentral lists this ribosomal RNA (497 nucleotides) under uncultured bacterium. RNAcentral's name for it is "partial 16S ribosomal RNA". It matches the Rfam family "Bacterial small subunit ribosomal RNA", at positions 28 to 507 of the family's 1533-position model. The record is from RNAcentral.